UACGUAGGGGCCGAGCGUUGUCCGGAGUUAUUGGGCGUAAAGCGCGCGCAGGCGGCUUGGCGCGCCCGACGUGAAAGCCCCCGGCUUAACCGGGGAGGGUCGUCGGGUACGGUCAGGCUUGAGGGCGGGAGAGGGUGGUGGAAUUCCCGGUGUAGUGGUGAAAUGCGUAGAGAUCGGGAGGAACACCUGUGGCGAAGGCGGCCACCUGGGCCGACCCUGACGCUGAGGCGCGAAGGCGUGGGGAGCGAACGGG
Molecule: ribosomal RNA, 253 nt
Filed under: uncultured bacterium
Lineage: Bacteria
Description: partial 16S ribosomal RNA
Rfam family: Bacterial small subunit ribosomal RNA
Source: RNAcentral